This 1345-nucleotide ribosomal RNA is filed under the name uncultured bacterium. RNAcentral describes it as "bacterial SSU rRNA". It matches the Rfam family "Bacterial small subunit ribosomal RNA", at positions 28 to 1381 of the family's 1533-position model. The record is from RNAcentral.
GAUGAACGCUAGCGGGAGGCCUAACACAUGCAAGCCGAGCGGUAUUGUUUCUUCGGAAAUGAGAGAGCGGCGUACGGGUGCGGAACACGUGUGCAACCUGCCUUUAUCUGGGGGAUAGCCUUUCGAAAGGAAGAUUAAUACUCCAUAACAUAUUGAUUGGCAUCAAUUAAUAUUGAAAGCUCCGGCGGAUAGAGAUGGGCACGCGCAAGAUUAGCUAGUUGGUGAGGUAACGGCUCACCAAGGCGAUGAUCUUUAGGGGGCCUGAGAGGGUGAUCCCCCACACUGGUACUGAGACACGGACCAGACUCCUACGGGAGGCAGCAGUGAGGAAUAUUGGUCAAUGGGUGCAAGCCUGAACCAGCCAUCCCGCGUGAAGGACGACUGCCCUAUGGGUUGUAAACUUCUUUUGUAUAGGGAUAAACCUACCCUCGUGAGGGUAGCUGAAGGUACUAUACGAAUAAGCACCGGCUAACUCCGUGCCAGCAGCCGCGGUAAUACGGAGGGUGCAAGCGUUAUCCGGAUUUAUUGGGUUUAAAGGGUCCGUAGGCGGACUUAUAAGUCAGUGGUGAAAGCCUGUCGCUUAACGAUAGAACUGCCAUUGAUACUGUAAGUCUUGAGUAUAUUUGAGGUAGCUGGAAUAAGUAGUGUAGCGGUGAAAUGCAUAGAUAUUACUUAGAACACCAAUUGCGAAGGCAGGUUACCAAGAUAUAACUGACGCUGAGGGACGAAAGCAUGGGGAGCGAACAGGAUUAGAUACCCUGGUAGUCCACGCCGUAAACGAUGCUAACUCGUUUUUGGGCUUUAGGGUUCAGAGACCAAGCGAAAGUGAUAAGUUAGCCACCUGGGGAGUACGCUCGCAAGAGUGAAACUCAAAGGAAUUGACGGGGGCCCGCACAAGCGGUGGAUUAUGUGGUUUAAUUCGAUGAUACGCGAGGAACCUUACCAAGACUUAAAUGGGAAUUGACAGCUUUAGAAAUAGAGCUUUCUUCGGACAAUUUUCAAGGUGCUGCAUGGUUGUCGUCAGCUCGUGCCGUGAGGUGUUAGGUUAAGUCCUGCAACGAGCGCAACCCCUGUCACUAGUUGCCAUCAUUCAGUUGGGGACUCUAGUGAGACUGCCUACGCAAGUAGAGAGGAAGGUGGGGAUGACGUCAAAUCAUCACGGCCCUUACGUCUUGGGCCACACACGUAAUACAAUGGCCGGUACAGAGGGCAGCUACACAGCGAUGUGAUGCAAAUCUCGAAAGCCGGUCUCAGUUCGGAUUGGAGUCUGCAACUCGACUCUAUGAAGCUGGAAUCGCUAGUAAUCGCGCAUCAGCCAUGGCGCGGUGAAUACGUUCCCGGGCCU